RNA transcript from Homalodisca vitripennis (glassy-winged sharpshooter), 1244 nucleotides. It is a transcript of the gene named syntenin-1-like, with no coding region annotated. NCBI's taxonomy places the organism in Eukaryota, Metazoa, Arthropoda, Insecta, Hemiptera, Cicadellidae. The record is from RefSeq and is a predicted model, not a curated record. The transcript is spliced from 6 exons.
CGUUAUCUCUAGCACACCUAGCUAGCUCGAUAGCGACGAUAUAAUUCACUCUGUGACUGUAGUGUAAAGUCGAUCAACCUUGAACAGGCUUAUUGUGUUUUCCAACUAUAAGAAUCAAGUUUAAGGUUAAUAGCAGCCUCCUGGGUAUGUAAGAUGGCUCUGUAUCCAACUGUCCCAAUUCAAAUCCAGCUCACAGACUAUGAACUGGAGACUCCUCACCUGGGAGUGGCACCCAUCUACUCUGUGGUGCCGGUUACCCCUCCCCCUCCCCCUUACAACCCACACCUUUACCCUCCUCUCUACGAUGUGGAACCACCACCACCUCCCCACAACCUGCCUCAGUUCGUGGCUCUUGUAGGGAUCCAUCCAAUGCAUCAAAAGAGUGGCAGCACAUCUUCUAGUGAACCGUCUAGAAGGCAUUCUGCAGAAAACAAGGCCCCAACUUCUGAGGAAAAGGAAGCCAAAAUAACAACAAAAGAGGCAAUAACGCAAGAUAAUCCUCCAGGUAAUCCUGAACAAGAAGGACGGCAAGUUUGGCAUGAAGCUUGCGGUGAUACACAAGAACAUCUUCAUCUACAAGGUGACGAAAGGAUCUUCUGCAUCCCAGGCUGGACUGAAGCUGGGCGAUCAGAUUGUCAAAGUCAAUGGCACCUGUGUCUCGGGCCUCAGCAACGACAACGUCCAUGAUCUGCUCAGACGUUGUCCUCAAUACGGCAUCAAGUUCACAGUUCGCAGCAGGUAUUCUUGUUGGAAGUGACUUAACUGUCUUCAAGAAAUUGGACAGUGUGAAAAAGUCUUUCAAAGACUUGUGAACCACAACGGAGUGAUAAAAUCUGCCUUCAAACCUAUCAACCACUUGUACUGCCGACAUACAGCAUGUGUUUACUGGGAAGUUUAACUACACAGCUAAAAGUUAACUUUUCCCAAUACACAGCACAUGUGGUCACUGAUGGUAAAAAUGGAAUUGAGUUGGAACUGAGGACUAUUUUAUAUAACUUACAGUACUUGAUUCUUAUUUUUCUUAAAGUGAAGUUUAACGUUAGUGAUACAUUACCUUACUUAUUAUAUAAGUCACAGGUUGUUAUUUUGUCUGCAACAGAAACUGUCCAUAAUUUUAGCAACUAGUAAUUACAGAAAUAAAAAUGUUUAACUUAUUGUAGUAAUUUAUGAUUUUAUUGAUUAGAUGCAAAUUUAUCAUCAGUAGAACAAUAUUCAAUGGAAAAAAUAAAUAUUGCGUAACUCUA